GCUACUUCUGCCGGCUUGGCUUCUUAGGGUGGGUGACUCAGGGAGUUGGGUUAACCCCCUGUUCCACACAUACCCUCCGCUCCCUUUGACACGAGAAUCCUGGUCUCCAGGAUAUUGCCUCAUGGGACAGGGUUUGGAGGUACAUAACCUCAGAAGGAGUAGCCAUCACUUAGGGUGGCCUCGUAAGGAGCCCUCGACGUUUACCAUCAGUGCACGGUCACCGGCGAGAGUCUGUUUUCCUGGAAUGAGCUGGGAAGGACCUAAGAUUGAAGGCCACCCAGAGACUGUCCCACCUGGAGAUCCAUCCCAUCUGCAGACACCAAACCCAGACACUACUGCUGAUGCCGAGAAGUGCUUGCUGACAGCCUGAUACAGUUAUUUUCUGAGAGGCUCUACCAGAUCCUGACCAAUACAGAUGCUGAUGCUCAAAGCCAACCAUUGGACUGAUCACAGGGACCCCAAUAGAGGAGUUAGGGGAAGGACGAAGGAGCGAAAGGGGCCUUAUCUGGCAUCAAUGGGAGGGGUGGCUUGGGUCCUAUGAAGGCUUGAUGUUCCAGUGUAGAGGAAUGCUAAGGCA
Molecule: long non-coding RNA, 577 nt
Organism: Rattus norvegicus (Norway rat)
Lineage: Eukaryota; Metazoa; Chordata; Mammalia; Rodentia; Muridae
Source: RefSeq, a predicted model, not a curated record